ACUGCUCAGUAACACGUGGAUAAUCUACCCUUAGGUCUGGAAUAACCCCGGGAAACUGGGGAUAAUACCGGAUAGAUCAUAGAUGCUGGAAUGCCCUAUGUUCUAAAGCUCCGGCGCCUAAGGAUGAGUCUGCGGUCUAUCAGGUUGUAGUGGGUGUAACGUACCUACUAGCCGACGACGGAUACGGGUUGUGAGAGCAAGAGCCCGGAGAUGGAUUCUGAGACACGAAUCCAGGCCCUACGGGGUGCAGCAGGCGCGAACACUUUACAAUGCGGGAAACCGCGAUAAGGGAACCCCGAGUGCCAGCACAAAGUGUUGGCUGUCCAGAUGAUUAAAUCUCAUUUGUUAGCAAGGGCCGGGCAAGACCGGUGCCAGCCGCCGCGGUAACACCGGCGGCCCGAGUGGUAACCGUUUUUAUUGGGUCUAAAGGGUCCGUAGCCGGUUUGAUCAGUCUUUUGGGAAAUCUGGCAGCUUAACUGUCAGGCUUCUAAGAGAUACUGUCAGGCUUGGGACCGGGAGAGGUAAGGGGUACUCCAAGGGUAGGAGUGAAAUCUUGUAAUCCUUGGGGGACCAUCUGUGGCGAAGGCGCCUUACCAGAACGGGUCCGACGGUGAGGGACGAAAGCUAGGGGAGCAAACCGGAUUAGAUACCCGGGUAGUCCUAGCUGUAAACGAUGCUCGCUAGGUGUCAGGCACGGUGCGUCCGUGUUUGGUGCCGUAGGGAAGCCGAGAAGCGAGCCACCUGGGAAGUACGGUCGCAAGGCUGAAACUUAAAGGAAUUGGCGGGGGAGCACUACAACGGGUGGAGCCUGCGGUUUAAUUGGAGUCAACGCCGGA
Molecule: ribosomal RNA, 836 nt
Filed under: uncultured archaeon
Lineage: Archaea
Description: bacterial SSU rRNA
Rfam family: Archaeal small subunit ribosomal RNA
Source: RNAcentral